Molecule: long non-coding RNA, 4003 nt
Organism: Physeter macrocephalus (sperm whale)
Lineage: Eukaryota; Metazoa; Chordata; Mammalia; Artiodactyla; Physeteridae
Exons: 3
Source: RefSeq, a predicted model, not a curated record
CACAGUACCCAGAAGUGGCUAGACGCUACAAUACUGGACAGCACACGUAAAGAACACUUCCAUCCUCACAGAAAGUUCUACUGGACAGUGCUGGUAGAUUGCCUGGUUGUGUCUGCUCAUUUCUUAGUGGCCACAAUGAGUAGUUCCUGAAACCCUUUUGGGGAAGAACUGAACUGGGGGAGGUUGGAGGGUACCAUUAUUCACUCUCUGGCCAACCUUCUAAACCUGAAAACUCAAAAGCUUAGAGCAACUAGGAGCAUGAAUCCACCAGUGUACUAGGCUCACCAGGCCCUAACCCCUCUCUCUCCCCUCUCUCACCUGCAUGUUCACAGCCACUCUGACCUUUGCGUAUUUUAUUCCAUUUCUAUUUUACGCCGUUUUAAUUGAUGUUUAAUAUAGCUUAACUCUGUGUGGUGUUCACAGCCCCUCACCAGGGGGCCAUUCACAGGCAGAAGCACAAUUAAUAGCAAGCCCCAGAAAAUUAUGCCCUGUAUCAAAGUUGUCAUUGCACCGUAUAAAUACUUAUUAUUACUAUUGAAUUCUCCAGCCCUGACACCUCCCUGUGUUUACUAGGUAGCAGACAAUCCUCUAUGUUUGUGCCUUCCCUACUCUACCGCACCAUCAGGACCAAAUAUAGCCCUUGUGUGUGUGUCUAGCUCCAUUUAGUUGUGCUUUGGGAAAAGGGGGGGAAAAUCAGCGUUAAUAAAGUUAAAUUGCUGGAAAAUGUAAUCUGUUCCUCCCCCACUUGACAAUCCCAAGAAAGACAGACAGACAUCACCGCUGACAAGAUGGGUAACCUGCCUCAGCGAUAGGGUGGAGGUGAAGCCCAGACCCUGAUACCACGGCCUGGCUUUCGGAUCAGCCUCCUGUGACAGUAGAGGGAGCAGGUCUAAGAGCACAGGAUGCUGGGAGGGCAGCCGGUGGGGCCACCCUGUGCCUGGGCUGAACGUGGCCAGAACACAGAGCUCGAGCCUGGGGGGCAAUCCCAGCUCCCCAAGGAGCUCAAGGGCAAUCCAGCCAGGAAAUCUGACCCCUACCCCCCUCUCUCAGUGAGAAAAGCGAAGCAAAGCCAAUUCUGUAAACCGCCCUCCUCACCCCCAACACACGCACACAGAGGAAAAAGAAAAAACCCUCGACUUGGCACUCCGUGGUUGCUUCUUCUGGGCUCUCGUGAAGCUUAGUUUUUGGCAAGAAAGACAGCAGCUUUUCUACGAUUCACAUGUCAGGAAAAGCACUGGACGAUUCCAGGUGGGUGAGACACCUGUCCUCCUCCCGCUCUGGCAGGCCUUCCCGUCCUGUUUGCCGUUCUCUCGGCACCCUUGUCUAGCGAGUCUCCCUUACAGAACGCAGAGGCCCCGGAGGACUUCCUCCUGACUUAGCUUCUUGUUCUUUUCUCACAACGGAGUGUACAGAACACACGUUGCUUACCGCUUCUGUCCACCUGUCACAUUCACCUGACUCCCUUUUACACACCACCGAUGUCACAGUCUCCAGUUACUGCCACCUGUACUGCAAGCGGAUGGACAGGUGGCGGCGGCUUUUGCCUGGGAGGUGCAGAGGGGAGCAAUACAACGGGAGCGUGGAGACGGCAGGUCUAUGAAUUACCGUGUGAACGUGCCCUAGUGAUUACCUUCUUCCGGCCUCAGCUCUAAACCACUGUGAACCGUUUGGAUUGGACAGUGUAACGCCUAGAGGCCUCCUAGCUAUAAAAUGCUCUAAGGCAGUAUUCAGAAGGCUGUACGCUCAAGUCCUUGGAAGCUGAAUGGGUCAUGCUUAUUUCUAUUUAUAAUCCCUUUUUUAUUUUUGCACUCAAUGCUCUAUGGAGAAAUGUAGAUUUCUAUUCUAAAUUCUUCUGACAAAAGAAAAGCUCUAUUUUAGGUUGUUUGACGGGGCAGUGUUUUUAACUAGACUGAGUUUCCCAUAUUUUAUUUGCUUUGCCUUCUCUCAUCUUUGCCUAAAAGCUUCUAAAAAACCAGACAUGCUUUCUGUACUCAGGCAUAGCAGGAACUGAGGCUGCCUUGGCUGAAGGAAGAAGAUGGUGCCCAUCCAGGGCCCUAGUGGAGGACUAUUUGCUACCUGCUGCACUCGUUGCCUCGUCUCCAAAUAGGGCCCGUUCUGUAGUUUGCUGCAAAUAUAUUAGGAGCGGAGCCACUAGCACUUCCCACCCAUGGCAAGCCUCGAACCCUCCGUACUCUGGCUGCCAAGACGAUCUGAAAGCAGGGGGCCACUUUCCAGCUUAGGAGAAAAACACGUGCAUUAAGUGGAAACUUCUUUUCCCUCCUCUCCUCCUCCCCAGCCACUUGGAAAGCUUUAGACUGAAAGGGAGGAAAGGAAGACCUGUCUGAUGAAGCCGAGGAAGGUGAUGGAAUUGUCAGAGACUUCCCUCUCCCCAUCUAUGCAGGCCAGGAUGGUUUAUUAAUGAUCCAUAGGAAAAGAACAAUCAUCCUGCUGGCAGCUUCACAUGUAAUUAACCAGCUUCACAGAGAGCUGGCUGCCUUCUCCGGGUCUGGCACCUGCAGACCGCAGAGCUACCUGACAUAGUGGCACCGGGUUUCUAGCGAAAUCUCCCUACUGGGAGAGGGGCAUCCAAAAUAGUGACCUUGACCCACUGGGCACUGACUCAGGAUACGUGACUGCAAUGGCACUGCUCCUCUGCAGAAGCCUGGCCCUGUGCUCGGGCUGACACGGAAGACUGCAAGCUGCCCGACGGCAGCCACAGCUCUGGGAACCGCGACUCCCAUGAAGUGCCCGCUCAGGCAAAACUCUACUGACUGGAGUUUCUGGAACUGGCUCAUGCUGUGGAGGGACUGAGAGGGCUUAACGACACUGCGGGGCAUGGUGGACAACAGGUGCUUCUGUGUAAAGAGCUCCUGCCUGGCACUCCACUCUCCUCCAGCCCUCCAACUGAACACAGAUCAAAGAGAAACUCAAUGGCAAUCAGACUGCUGUGGUCAUGGUAAGGAGACAAAAAAGACCACCACUACACCCUCAGAGGAUAAGGAAGCGUGGACCAGCCAGGCUCUAAAUAAGUCAUCCCUGUGUCCCACAUUUUCAAGUCCCAGUGACACUGGGAAAUGAGUAAGGUCAGAGUCCAGUACAGAGAAAGCAUGGGAGAGCCCUUGGUGUUGGCAGAUCAUCCUCCAAAUACCCCAUGGCAGUCGGAGUGCAUGGCACAGAUACUCAAGCCACUCCUUCUUAGAUGUCCACGUGGUACGUAUGGAGUCCUGGCUCCCCCCACCCCUUUGGUGACAGGUGGCUUAUCUAUGGUCCACAGCCAAGUCUAGAAGAGGCUCUGUGUAUAGGUUCAGGACUUCUCAGCAUUAGUGUUUCCACUGAAUGUGACCCUGCCUAGAAAGAAGCUGUUCCAACGUGCAGGAAGAUGCAGUAGCAGCGGCAAAGAGACCCUGACUUUUACCUUCUUUGUAGGAAAGAGACUGGCUGACCCCUGAUUCUACUUAAAUGCUCCCAACACACAGGCCUGUGCCCAGCCCACCCUGCCUGCUCUGGCUAUGGUGCUUUGUCCUCGGUGAAGUUCCAAUCCUAGAUUCUAGCUAACCUCCAAGAGAAUUUUCAUUCAUAAUAAAAAUGAUGCUGUGGGCUGUUGCUCACUGAGUGUUUACUAUCUACGAGGGCACCAGUGCUGGGCACAUUACAUAUAUACAUUAUUUCGACAGUAACCCUAUAGAGCAAGUGCCCUCAUUGUAAGUGAGGCACUUAGGUUUAGCAGGUCAGCUGCACUGCAUAACCCCAGGGGCACCAUUCAUGCUGAAUUCUAUUACGCACUGAGAUUGCCCUGGUUUUAGAGAGGGUAACGAUCAUGUCCAGCGUCACACAGUACACGGUGAACCUGGAAUGAGAACCCAGGUCUGACUCUGCGCACAUUACUAACAGAGUCUUUGUUAAGUGGCCAGGAAGGGAAAGAUGUCCUUAAAUGGGCAGACAUGCUGUUCGGACCAGGUUAGGGGAUCUCUGCUGUUAAUUCCCAAGCUUGCUCAUAAUCUUA